This 84-nucleotide small nucleolar RNA is filed under the name Sorghum bicolor (sorghum). Lineage: Eukaryota; Viridiplantae; Streptophyta; Magnoliopsida; Poales; Poaceae. The record is from RNAcentral.
UGCAAUCUGUGAUGCAAGAAUACCCAUUUCCUGAAUCCCUGUGAUUAUUACAACAAAAAUCACCAUCUUUCGGCUGAGAUUGCA